UAGUCCACGCCGUAAACGAUGAUCACUCGAUAUUGGGCUUAAGCUCAGUGUCCAAGCGAAAGUGUUAAGUGAUCCACCUGGGGGAGUACGCCCGCAAGGGUGAAACUCAAAGGAAUUGACGGGGGCCCGCACAAGCGGUGGAGCAUGUGGUUUAAUUCGAUGAUACGCGAGGAACCUUACCAAAGGCUUAAAAUGUAGAGCGACAGAGGUGGAAACACCUCCUUCUUCGGACGAUCUACAAGGUGCUGCAUGGUUGUCGUCAGCUCGUGCCGUGAGGUGUCGGGUUAAGUCCCAUAACGAGCGCAACCCCUAUCUCUAGUUGCCAGCGGAUAAUGCCGGGGACUCUAGAGAAACUGCCGGCGUAAGCCGCGAGGAAGGUGGGGAUGACGUCAAAUCAUCACGGCCCUUACGUCUUGGGCUACACACGUGCUACAAUGGCAAGGACAGUGAGACGCAAAACCGGGCGACGGGUAAGCUAAAUCUUCAAACCUUGUCUCAGUUCGGAUCGAAGUCUGC
RNAcentral lists this ribosomal RNA (516 nucleotides) under uncultured bacterium. RNAcentral's name for it is "bacterial SSU rRNA". It matches the Rfam family "Bacterial small subunit ribosomal RNA", at positions 791 to 1308 of the family's 1533-position model. The record is from RNAcentral.